RNAcentral lists this small nuclear RNA (107 nucleotides) under Tupaia belangeri chinensis (Chinese tree shrew). Lineage: Eukaryota; Metazoa; Chordata; Mammalia; Scandentia; Tupaiidae. The record is from RNAcentral.
GCGCUUGCUUCGGCAGCACAUACACUAAAACUGGAACGAUACAGAGAAGAUUAGCAUGGCCCCUGCGCAAGGAUGACAUUCAAAUUCGUGAAGCAUUCCAUAUUUUU